This is a long non-coding RNA of Neodiprion fabricii, 1516 nucleotides long. RefSeq lists it as uncharacterized. Lineage: Eukaryota; Metazoa; Arthropoda; Insecta; Hymenoptera; Diprionidae. The record is from RefSeq and is a predicted model, not a curated record. The transcript has 3 exons.
GUGUUUUUCUGAAUCGUGAGUAAUAUUCUACUGUAUAUACACAUACAUACGUGCAUACAUAAUGCAAAUAGGAAGAGCCAAGGACUAAGUCAGGUGGAUUGAAUUGGUUUCGUAAUGUGUUGUCAAAGCCUGGACGCAAACACGUGUACAAUACAUCCACGGAGAAGUUGAAAAGCAAAUACUGAAAGCGAGAUUGUGCCGUUCUAGGAUUAGAAAAUGCACUUUUAACGCGUCGAGAAACGAGGAUUACCGUACACCGUAUAUCCGUUGCAACCCUGUGGUCAAUAUUUAUUAUACUAAUUAUUAUACUAUAAUUAUGUUAAAGAAAAAUAUCCUUACCUACGACCGUUACGUAAAUUAUUUCCAAGUAUUUCACUGACGACAAUUUAAUUUCCCUCAAUUAUGCAAUCACCGUUUCAGAAUAUUAACUACACAUUCAUCGUGUAGUAGUCACAAGGUAGACACUGAGGAGUCAUUUAUACACAUUAUAUGUACAUUCUUAACAUAACCUGCAACAACGGAGUGUAUACCUGUAAUUAUUAUUGACUCAACAUCAUGGAGACCUAUUUUUGAUUCUCUUCACUUUGGUUUGUCAUCUCAAUUUGUUUUUUUUCGGAAUACCAUGCUUAUGGAUCAUGUUUCGAGGUGGAUGCAGAGCGAAAAUUUUGGGACACCGGAACAAAGUAGUGAGCGAGAAAGCCUGUCGAGCAAAAAUCGCAUUCAAAUAAUAUCGCGGGUCACCGAUCGAACUAUAAAUAUCGAUUAUGAUUUGUUGCUAUGUAGUGCAAAAGCGGCGAUCAACGUCCGACGAGACUAAGGUGCCUGGCAUUAGCAGCAAGUAUCCGGAUGCCACGUGCAACGUGCGUUGACAGAGAACUUUGAACAGGCAAUACAUUAUGUAUGCGGACUCGCAGGCUUCAUCAGUGACAUAUGACGGCUAGGAAUGUCGCCAUAUAUACAGGAAACAUUUACGUUGGUUAUACGCAGAAUUGAACGGAGGUGGAUGCAUGAUGGUGAAAGAUUGUUACUGCCUGGGACUUGUACAAGUGAGCAGAUGAAAGCCUGCAGGGAUGUCGGACAGCGGUGAGGGCGACAUACCUGUCAUGUGUUAUACGCAUUAUAUGUAUGCAUGCAUGGAUAUUAUACGACGUGAGUCUACGCGGAACAAGGGACACUCGAUCCUUGGUUCUCGGAAGGGGACUCCAGUUACGAAAUAUCUUAUACAUGCCUGACAAUGUCGUUUAGAAAGAGCAAAAUGAUUUUUGGAGGUGAGACGAACCUUCUCGAUGCAGGAUUUAAGGGGGCUGCCCAAGGUCCCCGUAACUCAAACGCAAAAACGGGCAUAACGGUCCCAUUCUAAAUACAAUUUUGUACAAAAAUACUCCAAUGUAUUUUUAUUUGAUGGAGAAAUAAAGUAAUGCCAUGAAUUCUACGAAUUUACUAUUGCGAUUUCAAUAUCGUGCUUGAUAAAAUUAAGCAAGUAAUCGGUAACUGGCAACCGAAAGCAAUAGCUGAA